Molecule: long non-coding RNA, 2656 nt
Organism: Salvia miltiorrhiza (redroot sage)
Lineage: Eukaryota; Viridiplantae; Streptophyta; Magnoliopsida; Lamiales; Lamiaceae
Exons: 5
Source: RefSeq, a predicted model, not a curated record
AGCUUUUAAUUAGCAAACCCUGAAGAUUAUUACAGUUUUCAUAGUACAACCCGGAAGAUUUUUAUUUUAUUUUAUUUUAGACCACUACACCUAACAUCACUUCAUCAUUCAUCAUUCAUCAUUCUACACUAAUUCCACUUCCACUACACCCACCACACCACUACUCCCACUUUCCCUCCCACUACUCCCACUUUCCCUCCCACUAAUCCUAUCCACCACUAUACUGUCAUCAUCAUCAUGCCCUUAUCAUCAAUACCCCAACACGCCUCCUGCAAAAUUCAGCCAAGAAUAACAGGAAGCACUAUGACAACAGCCGCACGCCUCAACAUAUAGUUCCAAAGGCUUUGUGACCAGGGGGAUUAGCGCUGCUUUCCCAAGACAUGUUUUUAUGUGUAUGAUCUUCAGGCUUUGCCUAAUCAGGUUGGCUGGCCGGUGCUGACGGGACGGAGCUGAGGCUAGAGUUAAAAUUCAUAUGUUAGACUUCCACUAUAGCAAUUACUCUUAUACAUCUUUUGUUUUCUCAACUUAAGAUGACUUCAUGUCGAGCUUAAAUUUGAAAUUCUAGUUUUAUGCUAAUGAAUGUUGGUUGUCAGAAACAUGAAACAAAACUUGUGAUCCAAAGGGGCAUAGCCCGACUUUCUAUCCUAUUUUGGGUUUUAACGAGGUAUUUCCCUUGUUUAUUUCUAUGAAUUAGUUGCACCUCGAUUAUAUUUAUUCAUUCAAGAAUUGGGGUGUGACAGAAUGGUAUCAGAGCAUGAGUUUUCUUUCAUGACUCUGAUAACCAUAAGCUUUUGAUGUCGAGUCUAGAAUAGUAUCUCUAGACUUCUAAGAAUGUCAGUAGCCCUCAGCUCACGGUCACACUGCCGCAACCAAGGUACGAUAAUAGUUUCAAAAAUAUACAUAUAUGUAUUUCAGAUGUUAUGAAAGUUUUCAAGAAAAGGUGCGCCUUAUGUUUACGAUGCUAUGUGAAUGCUUUUUGUCGUGUUUGGGACUACCCGAACCCAUAACGACUCAAUGAAUGUAUUUCGUGUUUGGGACAACCCGAGCCCUUAACGAAUCAAUGUAUGUAUGUAUGUAUGGUCGAGUUAGAUUCCUUGAAUCUUUCCGGCAUAAGCAAAGUUUUUCAUGAAAGGGACAUUUAAUGUCCAUAUGACUCAAAAUUUCAAAGAAAGCAAAUAUAUGUAUGUAUGUAUGUAUGUAUGAAUGAAUGAUGAGAAAGCUUUAUGUUAUCAUUUUAGGUUCACUGCCUAUAUGAUUAGAAUGAUGAGUUCUUUUACAAAUCGUUUGAGAACCACCCAAUAAUGCCUUACGAAUGUUAGUCGUGAUAGCACCGCUAGAACGACAUAGAAUGGACCUAUAUGAUACCAAAGAUUUAUGAUUGAAGUACUUAGAAGUAAGUGCUUUAAGUUAGAAGUUGACUUAGAGCUUUAUAAGAGAUAAGAAGUUGACAUGAUUGGGGGCGAAGCUCCCAUUUGACUGAGUAAUUCGUUGUGCUGGGUCUGGCCAGCCCACAUGACUAAGAUCUCGGUGAUUGUCAAUUUAGUCAUCCCAAUGUAUAAACUCGUACUAUAUAGUUGUCCCAAUAAGAUCUUCUUUGAUCACGAUAAGCAUAGUAUGAUUAGAAUGAGUUUGUUUGUCAACAGUUCUCGAGACAUGAGACGUAGCAUUCUCACGAUUAGAAAAUGUGAUAAGCAUCAAGCUAUGUAGGUGCACUGAUAGUGAAUGUCUAGUACUCCAAACUAGAUUUCCCAAGUAUGCAAUUUCGAGGACGAAAUUUUUAUAAGGAGGGAGGGAUGUAACACCCCGUUAUUUCUUAGCUAAAUUUAGAAUUAUUUUGAACUUAGAAGUCAGGAUGAUUCACGCCGGAUAUAAAGAAAAUGAAUUUAUUUUAAUUCCAACAAAAAUGAUUUACAAAAACAUUUGUAAAUUUAGUUAUUUAAUUUAUAUGCACUGCAUAUUUAUUAAAUUUAGCAUUCAAGUAUUUUCACGAGCUUUUAAUUAGCAAACCCUGAAGAUUAUUACAGUUUUCAUAGUACAACCCGGAAGAUUUUUAUUUUAUUUUAUUUUAGACCACUACACCUAACAUCACUUCAUCAUUCAUCAUUCAUCAUUCUACACUAAUUCCACUUCCACUACACCCACCACACCACUACUCCCACUUUCCCUCCCACUACUCCCACUUUCCCUCCCACUAAUCCUAUCCACCACUAUACUGUCAUCAUCAUCAUGCCCUUAUCAUCAAUACCCCAACACGCCUCCUGCAAAAUUCAGCCAAGAAUAACAGGAAGCACUAUGACAACAGCCGCACGCCUCAACAUAUAGUUCCAAAGGCUUUGUGACCAGGGGGAUUAGCGCUGCUUUCCCAAGACAUGUUUUUAUGUGUAUGAUCUUCAGGCUUUGCCUAAUCAGGUUGGCUGGCCGGUGCUGACGGGACGGAGCUGAGGCUAGAGUUAAAAUUCAUAUGUUAGACUUCCACUGUAGCAAUUACUCUUAUACAUCUUUUGUUUUCUCAACUUAAGAUGACUUCAUGUCGAGCUUAAAUUUGAAAUUCUAGUUUUAUGCUAAUGAAUGUUGGUUGUCAGAAACAUGAAACAAAACUUGUGAUCCAAAGGGGCAUAGCCCGACUUUCUAUCCUAUUUUGGGUUUUAACGAGGUA